This 168-nucleotide ribosomal RNA is filed under the name uncultured Erythromicrobium sp. RNAcentral describes it as "partial 16S ribosomal RNA". It matches the Rfam family "Bacterial small subunit ribosomal RNA", at positions 337 to 522 of the family's 1533-position model. The record is from RNAcentral. Lineage: Bacteria; Pseudomonadati; Pseudomonadota; Alphaproteobacteria; Sphingomonadales; Erythrobacteraceae.
UCCUACGGGAGGCAGCAGUGGGGAAUAUUGGACAAUGGGCGAAAGCCUGAUCCAGCAAUGCCGCGUGAGUGAUGAAGGCCUUAGGGUUGUAAAGCUCUUUUACCCGAGAUGAUAAUGACAGUAUCGGGAGAAUAAGCUCCGGCUAACUCCGUGCCAGCAGCCGCGGUA